CAAAGGUCUCUGUAAACAGCACACAACCCUUUGUAUAUUCCAGCUUUAUCAUUUGACACUUGAGUGCCAGAGUCUGGGCUCAUCUGCAUAAAGCAAGCCUACAGGUGAACAAGAUCAUUUAAACCCACCCCAAUACAUCAGUGAACUGUCUAAGAUACUAAACACGUGUAGCAGAGUGCAGCUGAAAACAUGCCAAAAGAAAGCCAAAUGGAAGUCAACAGGUUGCUGAAUUUUAUUCCCCCAGAAUCAAAACGUUGAUGGCGUUCUCUGUCAGAAAGUCUGAGCAGUGUGACGCACAGGAAUGUGUUCAGUUGGCAGGUGGGCAGAGCCAGAUGCCAUUUCAUGUGUACUGUUCACCAGUCUUAUUUCCCAAAUUAUGCUCCAAACAACCAUGCAAAUAUAUUCUCCCAACUUUUUCUGUCAACACUGAGGUUUAGCUGAUAUAGGUCGCAAUUUUCUAAACAAAGAAUCAAUAACACCAUCAGACAACUAUCUGUCUGGCAAAGUAAACAUUCUAAACAGAAAGCAAUUCCUGCCCACGAUGCAGACCUUCAGACCCUAAGUCUACAUAAACUGUAACAUAAAAGCAAUGCUGCCUUUAAAUUGGACAAAGCGACUGCAGAAUGUCCAAUGCUUACACAAUGCAUGAUGGCUGUGACCUCGUCCUAAGAGUCUGCUUCUCUCUGGACUUUAUAGCUUGUUGGCUGUGUCUGGCCAUUAUUAGCAGCCCAAUCUCCCUCAGCUUUAUUGAUAACAUUAUUAUUGCUACUUGGCUGACUUCUCCGAGUUGGACAGCUGAAUUUCAAAUGAAAGGAUAUGCUCUCUUUUGAACACUUUGCUGCAGUCAAUAUCUUUCUGUUUUUUUGCUCUAGAGAACUGUGUGAUCUCUUUUUCAACUUUUUUCCUGGUAUAACUGGACAAAGCUUCAUAGUAUUGUCACUUUGUAAUAAAUUGUGAUAGCCUUUUGAUGAAAUUAUUUUUAAUUCCACUUCACGAUGGACCACUCUUCACUAAGACAGGAUUUGUAGUAUGGCUUGUUUAUUGUGCAGACUGAAUUUGGUCAUUUCAAGAAAUGACCAAAUUCUGGUAUAAUGUGUAUGGUAUAUAUAGACCAGUUGACCUUAAAAAAUAGGAAUCCAUACUGCAUUAGUUCCUAAAAUGAUUUGUACCUCUAUCUUCUGGAGACAAAUUCUGAUAAUGCCACAGCCAUAUAUACUGUAUAUAGGCCUUGAAUCAUCUGCUGUCUGGGAUGUAUGUGCAUGUGUGAACUGCAUUCUGCCUCUAUGAAUAUAUAUAUAUACAUAUCCUUCAUUUUCUACCGCUUAUCCGAACUUCUUGGGUCACGGGGAGCCUGUGCCUAUCUCAGGCAUCAUCGGGCAUCAAGGCAGGAUACACCCUGGACAGAGUGCCAAUAUAUAUAUACAGUCACUAUAUAUUCACCAAGAACAUAUAAGCAGUUUGAGUUUAUUUCUGAUAUUAGCUACUAUUGAUUGGGAGGUUUUGAUUAAUGUUUGGGUUCAGCAGCUAACUAAACUAGCAAUUAUUCAUCUUUUUGGCUAGGAAAUAAUCAUAUGACAUCCAGCUCUAAUCAUGACCUGCAAGCUAUAGUUGAAAUAUAAACAUAAAAUAAAAAAGGCCAAUUGAGACAUAGAGAUGGGUUUUUGUCACUUCAGGAUAUGUCAGAGCUCUGCCAGAGAUCUUAAUCAUUUUAUCUAUAUUUGACACAAUAAAUAAUUUUAGAUAACAAAUCUGUCUUUUCAUAUUGGUCAAUUUAAUAAGCAAAUGAAAUGCGCUAUGAAGCCGUUCUAUAAUAGAGAGACAUUGGAUUGAUCUCUACAAGCUUUAUAAAAGUGCUCCAUUUCCAUUACAGCCACUACCUUCUGAGGUAUCCCCAGGUGAAAAAGGGGUAACAGCCAAGAAGAGUUCUCAGUAUUCUCACACAAAUCGAGAGUUUGGGGUUUUAGAUAAGGAGAACUUUGAGGUGGUAUUAGUGAUGCAGUGCUACUGCAGAGUAAAUAAAUAUAGAAAUAACAAAAUGCCAUCUAUUUUUAUCAGCACAUUGCUGGCUACUCAUGUGUCCAUACACAACCAAAGAAGAAAAGGGAGGAACUCCCUUCAUUUCUGUUCUCUGUUCUUUUCAGGAAUGCUUUUGGCAAACUUCUGAAUUUUGCUUUAAUAAAGUCUCUGGUCUAUCUUCCGUUUCUCUCUUUUGGUUUCCUUCACUCUCUGUCACCAUCUUAUUCACUCUGUCUAUUUUUGCUUGUAGCUGUCUAUCUCUUCUCUCUCUCUCUCUCUCUCUCUCUCUCUCUCUCUCUCUCUCUCUCUCUCUCUCUCUCUCUCUCUCUCCUUCUUCCUCUUCUUCUCUCCCAACUCCCGGCUUUGAGGCAAAAUCCUUCUGGGUCCCAAUUAAGACUCAAAGCUGCUGUUCUCUGUAUGAUAACAGCACCAAGUGCUGACAACAUGCUACCUGUCAACAAGAGCAUCAACAGCCGCCAUCUGUUCAUGGGAAAAUUGUCUUCAUUACACACAAACUCCAGAAUGCAGUUCACACAUGCACAGACAUCCCAGAUAGCAGAUGAUUCAAGGCCAAAUAUCGCUGAGUUAGAGCACAUAAGGACCAGUUAUGGCAGUGGCAAGUGUAGUGUAGGCCAAAAGUGAGCCAGAUGUAAGCAUAUACUCAUGGGAAUAUGGCUCUAAAGCAUUAUAUAUAUACAGUACACACCACCUUUU
This is a long non-coding RNA of Tachysurus fulvidraco (yellow catfish), 2730 nucleotides long. RefSeq lists it as uncharacterized. NCBI's taxonomy places the organism in Eukaryota, Metazoa, Chordata, Actinopteri, Siluriformes, Bagridae. The record is from RefSeq and is a predicted model, not a curated record. The transcript is spliced from 3 exons.